RNAcentral lists this ribosomal RNA (253 nucleotides) under uncultured bacterium. Its description in RNAcentral is "partial 16S ribosomal RNA". It matches the Rfam family "Bacterial small subunit ribosomal RNA", at positions 524 to 776 of the family's 1533-position model. The record is from RNAcentral.
UACGGAGGGGGCUAGCGUUGUCCGGAUUUAUUGGGCGUAAAGAGCGUGUAGGCGGCCAUGCAGGUCCGCUGUGAAAACUGGAGGCUUAACCUCCAGACGUCGGUGGAAACCGCAUGGCUAGAGUCCGGAAGAGGAGAGUGGAAUUCCCGGUGUAGCGGUGAAAUGCGCAGAUAUCGGGAAGAACACCCGUGGCGAAGGCGGCUCUCUGGGACGGUACUGACGCUGAGACGCGAAAGCGUGGGGAGCGAACAGG